Thrips palmi is the source of this 258-nucleotide long non-coding RNA. RefSeq lists it as uncharacterized. NCBI's taxonomy places the organism in Eukaryota, Metazoa, Arthropoda, Insecta, Thysanoptera, Thripidae. The transcript is spliced from 3 exons. The record is from RefSeq and is a predicted model, not a curated record.
CCCGUCACACACGCAGAACAUUCACACGGCGGACACCACUGUGAAACUGACCGGAGCCGGUCCAGCCCCAGCCGCUGCCCAACUCGGACUUCAGCCGUCGGCCGAGUCGGCGCAGGUCGCUGGGCGCCGCGGAUGGCGCCAAGAGGAGCGUGCGCCGCGCCUGGACCAUUUCCAGCGGCAGCAGUCCUCGCUGGAGCGUGCCCCGGCGCGAGGUCCGCGAGUACUCCAGCCUGCCGCGGCACCGCAGCUCGGCCGACU